CCUACGGGGGGCAGCAGUCGAGAAUCAUUCACAAUGGGGGAAACCCUGAUGGUGCGACGCCGCGUGGGGGAAUGAAGGUCUUCGGAUUGUAAACCCCUGUCAUGUGGGAGCAAAUUAAAAAGAUAGUACCACAAGAGGAAGAGACGGCUAACUCUGUGCCAGCAGCCGCGGUAAUACAGAGGUCUCAAGCGUUGUUCGGAAUCACUGGGCGUAAAGCGUGCGUAGGCGGUUUCGUAAGUCGUGUGUGAAAGGCGAGGGCUCAACCCGCGGACGGCACAUGAUACUGGGAGACUAGAGUAAUGGAGGGGGAACCGGAAUUCUUGGUGUAGCAGUGAAAUGCGUAGAUAUCGAGAGGAACACUCGUGGCGAAGGCGGGUUCCUGGACAUUAACUGACGCUGAGGCACGAAGGCCAGGGGAGCGAAAGGGAUUAGAUACCCCAGUAGUC
Molecule: ribosomal RNA, 446 nt
Filed under: uncultured bacterium
Lineage: Bacteria
Description: partial 16S ribosomal RNA
Rfam family: Bacterial small subunit ribosomal RNA
Source: RNAcentral